AUUGAACGCUGGCGGCAUGCCUUACACAUGCAAGUCGAACGGUAGGGGGAGCAAUCCCCUGAGAGUGGCGAACGGGUGAGUAAUGCAUCGGAACGUGCCCAGUCGUGGGGGAUAACGUAGCGAAAGCUACGCUAAUACCGCAUACGACCUGAGGGUGAAAGCGGGGGACCUGCAAGGGCCUCGCGCGAUUGGAGCGGCCGAUGUCAGAUUAGGUAGUUGGUGGGGUAAAAGCCUACCAAGCCUGCGAUCUGUAGCUGGUCUGAGAGGACGACCAGCCACACUGGGACUGAGACACGGCCCAGACUCCUACGGGAGGCAGCAGUGGGGAAUUUUGGACAAUGGGCGCAAGCCUGAUCCAGCCAUGCCGCGUGCGGGAAGAAGGCCUUCGGGUUGUAAACCGCUUUUGUACGGAACGAAAAGGUCUUUUCUAAUAAAGAAGACUCAUGACGGUACCGUAAGAAUAAGCACCGGCUAACUACGUG
This 482-nucleotide ribosomal RNA is filed under the name uncultured bacterium. RNAcentral's name for it is "bacterial SSU rRNA". It matches the Rfam family "Bacterial small subunit ribosomal RNA", at positions 30 to 507 of the family's 1533-position model. The record is from RNAcentral.